Sardina pilchardus (European sardine) is the source of this 413-nucleotide long non-coding RNA. RefSeq lists it as uncharacterized. The transcript has 4 exons. NCBI's taxonomy places the organism in Eukaryota, Metazoa, Chordata, Actinopteri, Clupeiformes, Clupeidae. The record is from RefSeq and is a predicted model, not a curated record.
UGUUGUUGGGGGAGGGGAAAGGGAGUUCGCUUGAACGACCGUUACUUUUUUCUUCACGGCACUCGCUCACCAAGUGAAGUGAUGCAGCAACUUUCAACAGAGGAGCUUUUGAAGUCUGAGAAACACGUGUGCAGGAUGGAAUAAUCUUUGUGAAAGAGGAGGCACAGCUAUCCAGAGAAUAUGAGCAGAAUAAGUGCUAACAACGAAAGUACCUGGGAUCUAAUGGCUAUAUCAUUCAUGGAGAUGAGGCGAACAAAGGAAUGAGGAGGAGUUUGGAAGAGUUGUACAGUCCACAGAACUUGCAAGUUGCAAUAACUAUCUAUGACAGAUAUCUUACCACUGCUGUCAUAGGCGCUGUGGACACCACUACUCUUGAAUGUAAGAUACUGUAUGAGAACGUCCUGUUGAUCAAG